AAGACUAUACUUUCAGGGAUCAUGACUAUAGUUCAUUACUAGAGAAGUUUCUCUUGAUUAUGUAAAACACCGGAAGCCAUGAGGAGGAGGCACAGCAUCCUCUCCUGAGCAUGAAGCUGGCUCUUGGUGUUGCUUUGCUGCAACUGCCUUUUGCCACUGAUGAACGUUCUUGCUGUCUUUUGGGGGAGCAAGAGGAGAGGAUGCAGUCUGAGUGGAU
Small nucleolar RNA from Carlito syrichta (Philippine tarsier), 217 nucleotides. The record is from Ensembl. NCBI's taxonomy places the organism in Eukaryota, Metazoa, Chordata, Mammalia, Primates, Tarsiidae.